UUUUAUUACUCUUUUUGCAGAGCAACUCUUUCUUCUUUGCAAUAGUCUGGGAAAAUAUAAUAACAUUACAUGAUCAUGGUAUUUCAUUAAAAUAUGUUAAAAUAUUAAAGAUAUAUACUAUUAUAUUUAUGUAAUCGUACAAAAACUAUUGGGAUGCCAAGAUGCAGCAACAUAGAACCAUUUCUUUUUUCUCCACCCAAGCACCCACACUGACCAAUAAUUCAUUUUCUGAAAAUAUUUCAAAUCUUAGACAUCAUGUUCAUAUUCUGUGAGCAGCAAAAGAUGGCCACUGGAAUAAGAAUGGGUGGAAAAUCAAUAGCUCGGUAUACUCCUCAAAACCAACAGAUGAGACAGAACUGCAGGAUCCCGUUUACAGCUCUUGAACCUACAAAAUAUGCAUGAUGUACCAUCACAAUUGGCUAAGUUUGUAACAAAUGGGAUCUAAUCAAGAAAUCUAAUUAAAAUACAAAGAUAAGUGCGUUAACUGGGAAAGAACUGCAGCUCUAUGAGAAGCUGCUGGCUAGUGAAUGGUUGAUCCUACAAACCUCUUCAAAUGUCAACAAAGAAAGUUUGUGGCCUGUGUAUAAGAAAAUAACUGGCAUUACCUCUCAAUUUUUCUACUUGUUCAGAAGAUUUACAUUAAGCAGGAUUGCUGGCUUUUAAGUCCAGACACCAACAUCUGUAAUUUGAUCUUGAGAUCUCAUAUAGCUCUUCUGGGGUCAUCUUCUCAAGUUCCUUGGGUUUCCAGAAGUCAAAACCAUCACAGAUACUUUCUAUCCCUGAUCCUUCCACCUGAUGAUUUUGGCCACGCAUUCUCUUGUACAGUCUCAUCACUGAUACACAGUCUUCAUAAGGAUCAUGUACCCCUGUCUGAAUAUCAUACCCUAGAUAUGAUUGCACAAGGUACUUCAGUGAGUGGCUAACCAGAUUAGUCUUCAUCAAAGGAGGGUAUUUUGCUGUAUCCCUACAUGAUCAAAAUUUAAUAUGCCAUAGAAAAAAAAAAAGUAUUUUUAAGCAAUUUCCUACAUUCGCAUUCCAAAUUCCCCUCACUAUAUUAACCAGAACUGAUACCAAUUAAAGUUCAUCGACAUAAUUGAUAAGAUUAAAUGGUUAGGCCAAAAUUGAAAAAUCACACAAAGAUCAAGACCUUUUUGGUCAACAUGUUCAAAUCAAUCACAUACAGAAUUGGGAGAACACCCAAAAAAUUUACAUUGAAUAGUACAAGUUAUUUAUUUCAGACAUCAAUAUCUCUAGGAAGAACCUUUAAAUCUAUCAGUAGAACUUUACUAAAACUAUUUCCUUUAUAUCCUCUAUUUAUUUACUCAGUACUAUCAGUAUUGAGGUCAACAACAGUCAACUUUUAGUUUGCAAGUACAAAGACAAAUCUCAUUUUGAGUUCUCAUACAGAACUUGCCAAAAAUAGUAAUCUAUUUUGAUAACUCUAAUGGGGCGUUGGGUAUGAGGUUAACAAGGAGUAACUAUUACCCUUACUUUUAACCUCUCAUUUAAGUUUUUUAACUAACCUCCUACCAAAUUCCAUUAAUUAUUUUUUUACCUCUUUAAUAAUUACUCCUUUAGAAUUUAUAAGAGUAACACUUAACCUUUAAUUUUUUAACUUUAAAGCAAGCUUCCUAAAGCUUGCUGGUCAAUGAUUGGGUAUGGGCAGGUGUUUAACACCACAAAGACAACUGCCUUUAUGAUAACCUGAUCACAUAAACAAUUAGAAUGUGGACAUAUUUCUGAAAGGAGAUUAGACAGUUAUUAUACUACAGAAGAGUCACUGCAAAACUAACAACUCCAGAAUCGCAGCUGUGCUUGUUACACAAAGAAAAGAUAUUUGUAUCCAAUUAUAUGAGGAAACGUCACUUGGUUUAGAUAACAUUAACAUGGCCAUGAUAUUACUCAAGUCUCAAACAAUGUCACAAAUGGUAAUAUCUUAGGAUUAGUCCACCCAAAAGUGGACAAAUUGACUGCUACUAACCAAAUGGAAAUGGAUAAUAUGUAUCAAGAACCACAAGAAUUCAUCCACAAAAUAACAUCAUCAUCACAGAAUAUUAUAUGAGCUAAUUUCAAUAAUCAAGUCAAUUUAUCUAAUAUAAAUGGAUUAAUGUACCUCAACAGAUGAUCAGGAUAGAACAUUCUCAAGCAAUCCAAAUCAUGGUCCAAGGAAUGACCCACAAGAAGCCUUGCUUUUCCACCACUCAAUCUUAGUUUUCCAAUAGAUUCCCCAUUGUACAAAAUUUCUAAAAUUUUAUCUUGCACUUCCUUAAGUGGCAUGGCAUCUCUUAGGUGCUCUUCAGUUAAGCCAGUUAUUUCAUAUCUGUAGUUAGUUACAGGAAUUUGAGGUUGAACAUACGAGUGGAAAAUUAUAUUUUCAUCUUCAUCAAUAAGGCACACCCUAGCACAAAGACUAAGUGAUCCAUCACUUCCACCACCGACCAUUUCACAGUCGAUAGCAACGGCUUCAACACCUUUGCAAGCAUAAGUUUCAUCAACUGAUCCUGAAAUAUAAAUAUGUGAUUCUGCGCAAGUUGGUAUAUUAGCUGCAAGGGAAGCAGGUGCAGAUAGGCAGCACAUUUCCCUGUGCUUGUCAAGAGAAUUGGGGCUAUCAAAAACUUCCAAGCAAAGAUUGCAACCUCGGUCAGAGAAAAUCUGUGAACAAUUUGCUUUUGCCAAUGGACCAGUAAGAUGUAUUCUCAGAGAUUCAAAAGAUUUGCAAUGCUUCUGACACACUGCACAUCUGGGCUCAUGAGCUGAGUGGUACGAGAUCUUCAUGUGUUCAACAAGAUGUUCCUUUUUCUUAUAUUGCUUGUAGCAUGCAUAACAUUUGUACCUUGUGGUUAGGGCUUUUGUUGGUGAGUAAGAAUCGGAAUCCAUGUAGAUGUAAUCAGCUAAAAUUGAAGGGAGAUUUUUUCUCUUUUGUAUAUCGGUUAGUAGGAAAAAUCACGCCCAAGGACUGACAGUAGACACAACACAAGUCGGGAAUUGGGCGUCUUUCAAGGCAUAUUUCAUUCCCAA
This 3018-nucleotide unclassified non-coding RNA is filed under the name Hevea brasiliensis (rubber tree). The record is from RNAcentral. Lineage: Eukaryota; Viridiplantae; Streptophyta; Magnoliopsida; Malpighiales; Euphorbiaceae.